This 462-nucleotide long non-coding RNA is filed under the name Chinchilla lanigera (long-tailed chinchilla). RNAcentral describes it as "lncRNA (ENSCLAG00000026651.1)". Lineage: Eukaryota; Metazoa; Chordata; Mammalia; Rodentia; Chinchillidae. The record is from RNAcentral.
AUGACACCUGGGCCUGCCACCAACUUCAAAUCCAGGGGCUGCUUCCCUGCCACAGUUUCAGAAUGCAGUGGACCCAGUGGCUGUGCUGGCUCCUUCAGAACAGAGGACAAUGGUUCAUUCCCUCAGGGGCUCUCUGCCAAGGAUCCAGGCCAGAAAAAGGACCAGGGGCACAUCUGGCUGGAGUGGCCCCAAGUGCAGCUGGAAUCUCCCACAUCCUUUCUAGACACGCUGGGAGCUGUUCAGGCCCCAGGCUGGGGUCUGGCCCUGUGCUCUCUCUUCCUUUCAUUCAGGCAGUUGGAUCUCCUCAGAACGUACUCAGCACCUGACCUUCUCUGAGGCUCUGCACAAACGCCACCCUCUGGAAACUUUCCCUGGAACCCUGGGCUGAAACUCUCCUUUCUGCCUUUGCCCCUUGUCAUUUCUUGUUGUUAGGACCAUUUCAUUAACAAACAUAUCCCGCCU